AAUCAUUUGUCUUUUAAAUGAAGACUUGUAUGAACGGCAAAACCUCCUCCAACUGUCUCCCCUCCCAUCCUUCCAAAUUUCCUCCUGUGUGAAGAAGCACAGAUACACCAGAAAGACGAGAAGACCCUGUCGAGCUUUAACCACUAAGUGGGCCUUACCCUUUCAGGCACCACCCAAAGGUUUUGGUUGGGGCAACCACGGAGAAAAAACAUCCUCCAGAACGAAUAGAAGAAAGCUUUUCACUAUUAUUACGACUAAGAACCAGGAACUGGUAUUCGGAAAGAGUUACCGCAGGGAUAACAGCGUCAUCUCCUCUAAGAGUCCUUAUUGACGAGGAGGUUUGCGACCUCGAUGUUGGAUUGGGGCCCCCUUAGGGUGCAGAAGCUCUAAACGGUUAGACUGUUCGUCUAUUAAAGCCCUACAUGAUCUGAGUUCAAACCGGAG
Molecule: ribosomal RNA, 444 nt
Filed under: Holothuria mammata
Lineage: Eukaryota; Metazoa; Echinodermata; Holothuroidea; Aspidochirotida; Holothuriidae
Description: partial 16S ribosomal RNA
Rfam family: Bacterial large subunit ribosomal RNA
Source: RNAcentral